Long non-coding RNA from Oreochromis aureus, 761 nucleotides. RefSeq lists it as uncharacterized. The transcript is spliced from 4 exons. NCBI's taxonomy places the organism in Eukaryota, Metazoa, Chordata, Actinopteri, Cichliformes, Cichlidae. The record is from RefSeq and is a predicted model, not a curated record.
GAGGGGCCAGAGGAUUCUCCAUCUACACUGGAAAGGACAGAGCACCUUGAGAGAAACACAACCGGUCUAACAAAGGACACUGCAUCACAGGUCGCAUAUUUGUGGAAACAACAGGAAACGGAAGUUGUUGUUUCUGUGGUCCCAUCUCAGAUUAGAGGUAACAACUUUGUCAUACGUCACAGUGAGUUCCUGACCCUUAGACCACACAGCUGGCUUGUUGGAGAGGUAUGUAUCCAGGUAUUAACCCCCCCCCCUCCCCCAAAAGUACUGCAUAAGGUUAACGUUAAAGCUGGGGCAGAACAUUAGUUGUUCCCUACACAUUCAGUAAGUACUGCUUUAGAUCUACAUUCCAGGCAUAUCCUCAUGACUGAAUACUGAGUAUACGUAAGUAAAAAACUCUUUAUUAACCUUUGUAUUCCAAAAAUUUAUCAUGUUUACAAAGUAAUAAAAGGUUAUUUAUUAUACUCCUCAGGUCAUUGAAAGUCUCCUGCACCACUGGGCCAUUCGGCUGAAUCUGGGGAAUAAUAUCUACAUUAUGAACCACUACACGAGCGGUGUGAUCCUCUAUGGAGAGAGAGAACUAAUCAGGAGACAAAGCUUGUCCAAGGUGAACUUUGACAACUACCGAGCCAUUUUAUCCUUUGUGAACAUUGGAAAUGUACACUGGAAGUUUCUGUACAUAAAUGCAGAUGACAGCUGUCUGUAUUUGGUCGAUCCUUCAAGAAACUCUUUGGAGCAGGAAGAGUCUGACCGUGCAGCCA